This 372-nucleotide ribosomal RNA is filed under the name uncultured organism. RNAcentral's name for it is "partial 16S ribosomal RNA". It matches the Rfam family "Bacterial small subunit ribosomal RNA", at positions 527 to 896 of the family's 1533-position model. The record is from RNAcentral.
AUAGGUGGCAAGCGUUGUCCGGAAUUAUUGGGCGUAAAGCGCGCGCAGGCGGUUCUUUAAGUCUGAUGUGAAAGCCCACGGCUCAACCGUGGAGGGUCAUUGGAAACUGGAGAACUUGAGUACAGAAGAGGAAAGCGGAAUUCUACGUGUAGCGGUGAAAUGCGUAGAGAUGUGGAGGAACACCAGUGGCGAAGGCGGCUUUCUGGUCUGUAACUGACGCUGAGGCGCGAAAGCGUGGGGGAGCAAACAGGAUUAGAUACCCUGGUAGUCCACGCCGUAAACGAUGAGUGCUAAGUGUUGGGGGGUUUUCCGCCCCUUAGUGCUGCAGCUAACGCAUUAAGCACUCCGCCUGGGAGUACGGCCGCAAGGCUG